AUGGGAGCGGAGACGAACCUCUCGUCGCCGCAGCUAGAGCCGACUAAGUUGCGGGAGACGGAGACCUUGCCCAGCGACGAUCAGAAUUGGAUGUCGGCACUGCGAGAGUCUGUUUCGUUUGGGCGGUUCCUAUCCGAGCCACUCGAGUGGCAUACCACGGGACACGUCUCGCCGGCAACGAUGGCGCAUGUCCAAUCACCGCCUACAGCUGAGCUCGAUCUGCCGGUACAUAUCGCGGCGGUCGGACCUCAAUUUGUGUCCAGCUGUGGUGAUGCUUACAUUGGUAGUUCUGGACCAGCCCAGAGUUGUAAUCCAUGCUUUCCCGCGGCUCGUUCGUCAGUAAGUGCAACUCAUAUUGGAGGAGCAGAUCUCUAUAUGUCAUUAAUGGAGCCGAUGGAGAGCUUUGGUCAGAGUGUAGGAUCGACUACUCCAAUUGCACUUGAAGAUGAUGCCAAUAGCAGUUUCACGGAUGCAAAGCAGUUGGCUUCAUGUGGUGGAGAUAGUUACAGUACACCCAGGAAAACAAGUAGCAUGCCGAUCUGUGGUUCAAUAUACGUGCCUGAGUGUGAUGAAAGCUUGGAGCCGGCAAUUGGCAUGGUCUUUGAUAAAUGGGAGGCUGGUGAGAUGUUCUACACACGGUAUGCUCAUGAGGUUGGGUUCUUAGUCCGCAGAUUUACACAACAUGAGGGGGAUGGUGGUGUACCAGUGUGGAAACGUUUUGUUUGUGCAAGACAAGGAUGGAGGGAGGAGAAAUAUAUACUGAAUGAUCAUGUGAAGAAGCCCAGGAGGAAAGUUAAGCUAACUAGGUGUGGCUGUGAGGCUAUGAUUAGCUUGAAGAUAAGAGAUGAUGGCAAGUAUGAGGUCGCCCGAUUCGUCCGUGAACAUACGCAUCAGCUUGUCUCACCAAGUAAGAAACAAUUCCUUAGAUCAAACAGGGAAGUCACUAGUGAAUUGAGGAGCACAUUUUUCACAUGUCGCAAAGCAUUGAUGGGCCCUUGCCAAACAUAUCGCUUCAUGACUGCACAAAAGGGUGGACCAGAGAAUAUUGGUUGCAGUAAGCGUGAUUUACAGAAUUAUUGUCGUGAUAUCAGUGAGAUAAUUAAAGAUGCGGAUGCACAAACAAUUAUUGAUGCUAUGCGAAGUAAACAAAGGAUCAAUCCAACUUUCUUCUUUGAUUAUGAACAAGAUGAUGAGAAGAAGUUAACACACAUAUUCUGGGCUGAUGGUACCUGCAGAAAGAACUAUGCACUAUUUGGCGAGGUAAUGUCUUUUGACUCCACUUAUAGUACCAAUCAGUACAACCUAGUUUUUGCCCCUUUCACUGGUGUGAACCAUCACAAGGCAUGUGUUACAUUUGGUGCUGCAUUUGUAUGCCAUGAGAAGGUUUGGUCGUACAAAUGGUUGUUCAAGACCUUUCUGAAGUCAAUGGGAGGUGUUGCACCUAAACUUAUCAUUACCGAUGAGGAUCAGAGCAUGAAAGCUGCAAUCAAAGAAGUCUUUCCUCAAACCAUACAUAGACUUUGCAUGUGGCACAUUCUCUAUAAACUCCGUCAGAAUGUUGGUCAUGAUUUAUUCAAUGAUGAAGAUUUCCGCAGGCAAUUUAGUGCAUGUGUUUGGGGUUCAGAGACUCCGGGAGAAUUUGAGGAAAAAUGGUCCACACUAAUUUCACAUUAUGAAUUAGAAAGCAACAUAUGGCUGGCUGGCAAGUUCGGAAUUCGUCACUUGUGGAUACAUGCAUACUUCAAAGGCGUAUUUCUUGGUGGGUUAUUGCGGACUACAUCGAGAUCUGAGAGUGAGAAUGCUUUCUUUGGUCACUUUCUCAACCGGCGACUCUCUUUGCUUGAGUUUUGGAUAAGAUUUGAAAGUGCCAUUGAAGAACAACGACAAAAGGAAUUGGAGGAUGACAAUAGCACAAUUCAUACACUACCACUGCUAGAGACUACUUGGAGUAUUGAGAGUCAUGCUAGGCAUGUCUAUACUCAUACUAUCUUCCUACUAUUUCAGGAUGAGCUGAUUGCCGCAAGGGAUAGGCGUGAUGUACUAUCAAUACAACAAGUUGGUGAGGUACAAAUCACUUGUAUUUCAGACUUAAGUGGCAAAGUUAGAGAGGUGCUCUACAACACCACAACCAAGGUUGCACAUUGUUCUUGUAAAUUGUUUGAAUCUAUUGAUAUACCCUGUUCCCACAUCAUCAUUGUCCUCAAGAGAGAGAAAUUCAAGGAGAUCCCAAGUCAUUGUAUUCUUCAUAGGUGGACAAAACUAGCUACAAAGACGGUAGUACUUGAUUCAAAUGGCAAUACACUUGAAGGGACAACUAAAUCUCUUCCACCCAACAUUAACCGAUUGUACUCCGAGACAUGCACCAAAUUCAAUAUGGGCAUGAUGGCUGCCAAGAAUUGUGAGGAGAAGAUGCAAUUUGCAUAA
This 2424-nucleotide ribosomal RNA is filed under the name Triticum aestivum (bread wheat). RNAcentral describes it as "partial small subunit ribosomal RNA". The record is from RNAcentral. Lineage: Eukaryota; Viridiplantae; Streptophyta; Magnoliopsida; Poales; Poaceae.